Molecule: unclassified non-coding RNA, 390 nt
Filed under: soil metagenome
Description: partial contains 5.8S ribosomal RNA, internal transcribed spacer 2, and large subunit ribosomal RNA
Rfam family: 5.8S ribosomal RNA (bases 1-122)
Source: RNAcentral
GAUGAAGAACGUAGCGAAAUGCGAUACUUGGUGUGAAUUGCAGAAUCCCGUGAACCAUCGAGUCUUUGAACGCAAGUUGCGCCCGAAGCCACUAGGCCGAGGGCACGCCUGCCUGGGCGUCACACGCCGUUGCCCCCCCAUCUACUCCUUCGGGAUUGCGGGGGGGCGGAUGAUGGCCUCCUGUGCGCCUAGCCGCGCGGUUGGCAUAAAUACCAAGUCCUCGGCGACGCACGCCACGACAAUCGGUGGUUGCGAAACCUCGGUUGCCCGUCGUGUGCGUUCGUCGCGCAUCGAGGGCUCGAAAAAUGCUCGGCUCCGGCUGGGCUUUCAACGCGACCCCAGGUCAGGCGGGGUUACCCGCUGAAUUUAAGCAUAUCAAUAAGCGUAGGA